GACGAACGCUGGCGGCGUGCUUAACACAUGCAAGUCGAACGAAGUGGCGAACGGGUGAGUAACGCGUAAUCAACCUGCCCUUCAGAGGGGGACAACAGUUGGAAACGACUGCUAAUCCCGCAUACUGAAGGAGGGGAUUGCGUCUGAUUAGCUGGGUGGAGGGGUAACGGCCCACCAAGGCGAUGAUCAGUAGCCGGGCUGGGAGGAUGGACGGCCACAAUGGGACUGGGGCAAGGGCCAGAAUCCUACGGGAGGCAGCAGUGGGGAAACUUCCGAAAUGGGCGAAAGUCUGACGGAGCAACGGCGGGUGGGUGGUGACGGCCUUCGGGGUGUAAAGCUCUGUUAAUCGGGGCGCGGUACCGGAAUAGAAAGCCACGGCUAACUACGUGCCAGCAGCCGCGGUAAUUC
RNAcentral lists this ribosomal RNA (408 nucleotides) under uncultured bacterium. RNAcentral's name for it is "partial 16S ribosomal RNA". It matches the Rfam family "Bacterial small subunit ribosomal RNA", at positions 28 to 526 of the family's 1533-position model. The record is from RNAcentral.